RNAcentral lists this non-coding RNA (247 nucleotides) under Clostridium botulinum. RNAcentral's name for it is "T-box sequence". It matches the Rfam family "T-box leader". From Rfam's summary of the family: Uncharged tRNA acts as the effector for transcription antitermination of genes in the T-box leader family. Lineage: Bacteria; Bacillati; Bacillota; Clostridia; Eubacteriales; Clostridiaceae. The record is from RNAcentral.
CCAAAAACUAUGAAGAGAAGAGUAGGUAUAGAUAAUAUUUUAAAGCGAGUGGAUAAUGGUGUAAGUUCCAUAAAUAUGCUAUAUUGAAGAACAUCUCGGAGUUUCUAACCGAAAUUUUUUAAAAAGUAGGCUUAGAGGUUUCCAAAGCCUUACAUUUGGAUUGUAUGAUUAUUAUAGAGUCAUACUUUAAAGUUGGCCUUUUGGCAAUUUGGGUGGUACCGCGGAAUAUAUACCUUUCGUCCCUGUA